UACGUAGGGGGCAAGCGUUGUCCGGAAUCAUUGGGCGUAAAGAGCGUGUAGGCGGCCCGAUAAGUCCGCUGUGAAAGUCCAGGGCUCAACCCUGGGAUGCCGGUGGAUACUGUCGGGCUCGAGUCCGGAAGAGGAGUGUGGAAUUCCUGGUGUAGCGGUGAAAUGCGCAGAUAUCAGGAAGAACACCCGUGGCGAAGGCGGUUCUCUGGGACGGUACUGACGCUGAGACGCGAAAGCGUGGGGAGCAAACGGG
Molecule: ribosomal RNA, 253 nt
Filed under: uncultured bacterium
Lineage: Bacteria
Description: partial 16S ribosomal RNA
Rfam family: Bacterial small subunit ribosomal RNA
Source: RNAcentral